This 645-nucleotide ribosomal RNA is filed under the name Emergomyces africanus. RNAcentral describes it as "eukaryotic LSU rRNA". It matches the Rfam family "Eukaryotic large subunit ribosomal RNA", at positions 138 to 799 of the family's 3401-position model. The record is from RNAcentral. Lineage: Eukaryota; Fungi; Ascomycota; Eurotiomycetes; Onygenales; Ajellomycetaceae.
CCGAGUUGUAAUUUGUAGAGGAUGCUUCGGGUGUGGCCGCGGUCUAAGUCCCCUGGAACGGGGCGUCGCAGAGGGUGAGAAUCCCGUCUUCGGCCGGCCGGCUGCGCCCGUGUGAAGCUCCUUCGACGAGUCGAGUUGUUUGGGAAUGCAGCUCUAAAUGGGUGGUAAAUUUCAUCUAAAGCUAAAUACUGGUCGGAGACCGAUAGCGCACAAGUAGAGUGAUCGAAAGAUGAAAAGCACUUUGAAAAGAGAGUUAAACAGCAUGUGAAAUUGUUGAAAGGGAAGCGCUUGCGACCAGAGUCGGCCGCGGGGGUUCAGCGGGCAUUCGUUGCCCGUGCACUCCCCCGGGGCCGGGCCAGCGUCGGUUUCGACGGCCGGUCAAAGGCCCCCGGAAUGUGUCGCCUCUCGGGGCGUCUUAUAGCCGGGGGUGCAAUGCGGCCAGUCGGGACCGAGGAACGCGCUUCGGCACGGACGCUGGCUUAAUGGUCGUAAGCGACCCGUCUUGAAACACGGACCAAGGAGUCUAACAUCCACGCGAGUGUUCGGGUGUCAAACCCGUCCGCGCAGUGAAAGCGAACGGAGGUGGGAACCCUCAAGGGUGCACCAUCGACCGAUCCUGAAGUCUUCGGAUGGAUUUGAGUAAGA